UACGUAGGGUCCAAGCGUUGUCCGGAAUUAUUGGGCGUAAAGAGCUCGUAGGCGGUCUGUUGCGUCGGUUGUGAAAACCUGGGGCUCAACUCCAGGCCUGCAAUCGAUACGGGCAGACUAGAGUUCGGUAGGGGAGACUGGAAUUCCUGGUGUAGCGGUGAAAUGCGCAGAUAUCAGGAGGAACACCGGUGGCGAAGGCGGGUCUCUGGGCCGAAACUGACGCUGAGAAGCGAAAGCGUGGGGAGCGAACAGG
This 253-nucleotide ribosomal RNA is filed under the name uncultured bacterium. Its description in RNAcentral is "partial 16S ribosomal RNA". It matches the Rfam family "Bacterial small subunit ribosomal RNA", at positions 524 to 776 of the family's 1533-position model. The record is from RNAcentral.